Molecule: ribosomal RNA, 267 nt
Filed under: uncultured bacterium
Lineage: Bacteria
Description: partial 16S ribosomal RNA
Rfam family: Bacterial small subunit ribosomal RNA
Source: RNAcentral
GUCCACGCCCUAAACGAUGUCAACUGGUUGUUGGGUCUUCACUGACUCAGUAACGAAGCUAACGCGUGAAGUUGACCGCCUGGGGAGUACGGCCGCAAGGUUGAAACUCAAAAGGAAUUGACGGGGACCCGCACAAGCGGUGGAUGAUGUGGUUUAAUUCGAUGCAACGCGAAAAACCUUACCCACCUUUGACAUGUACGGAAGUUACCAGAGAUGGUUUCGUGCUCGAAAAGAGAGCCGUAAACACAGGUGCUGCAUGGCUGUCGU